CCUACGGGUGGCUGCAGUGGGGAAUAUUGGGCAAUGGGCGCAAGCCUGACCCAGCAACGCCGCGUGAAGGAAGAAGGCUUUCGGGUUGUAAACUUCUUUUCUCAGGGACGAAGCAAGUGACGGUACCUGAGGAAUAAGCCACGGCUAACUACGUGCCAGCAGCCGCGGUAAUACGUAGGUGGCAAGCGUUAUCCGGAUUUAUUGGGUGUAAAGGGUGCGUAGACGGAGAAGCAAGUUAGUUGUGAAAUCCCUCGGCUUAACUGAGGAACUGCAACUAAAACUACUUCCCUUGAGUACUGGAGAGGAAAGUGGAAUUCCUAGUGUAGCGGUGAAAUGCGUAGAUAUUAGGAGGAACACCAGUGGCGAAGGCGACUUUCUGGACAGUAACUGACGUUGAGGCACGAAAGUGUGGGGAGCAAACAGGAUUAGAUACCCUUGUAGUC
This 443-nucleotide ribosomal RNA is filed under the name uncultured bacterium. Its description in RNAcentral is "partial 16S ribosomal RNA". It matches the Rfam family "Bacterial small subunit ribosomal RNA", at positions 338 to 795 of the family's 1533-position model. The record is from RNAcentral.